This 651-nucleotide ribosomal RNA is filed under the name Isabellaria riedeli. Its description in RNAcentral is "partial 12S ribosomal RNA". The record is from RNAcentral. Lineage: Eukaryota; Metazoa; Mollusca; Gastropoda; Stylommatophora; Clausiliidae.
AUUACUUUAAUAUGAUAAUUACAAGUAAGCAUUAAGUAUAUUUUAAAUAUGGAACCUACGGUGGAAUUUUCCAGUUUAAAAUUUUAAAUAUAUAUGAAAAUAUAAUUUAGAUAGCUUAUUUAUAGGGGUUAAUUAGGUGCCAGCAACCGCGGUCACACCUAACAUACAAGCUUACUAUUUAUAGUAAUAAAUCACUCACUUAAAAAUGUCAAGAUAAAUAGUGAAAUAUUAUCUUAUAGUUUUCACUACUUAAUUUAAUUUUAACUAAUUCCGUAAGUAAAACUAGGAUUAGAGACCCUACUAUUACGGACAUAAAACUAAUUACUAAGGAGUAAUAACAUAACUUCAAACUUAAAUGUUAUGGCGGCUAAGCAAAAUAAUUAGGGGAACUUACCAUAUAAUAGAUAGCCACCAAGCUUAAGCCACUUAUUUUCAUAAUUUGUAUACCGUUGUCUUUAUAAACCCCCCAAAGAGGUUGAGACCUAUAAAGCUUAUUUUAAGACAAAUCAAGGUGCAGUGCAUAAAUAAGAAUUAAGGUGAGUUACAGUAAAAAAUAUCUUCGGAAAUAAGCUAUGAAAUAACUUAAUAAGAUGGACUUAAAAGUAUUUUUUAAAUGGAGACAUGUUAAGGGAAUAUAUAUUGCUUAGUGUA